RNAcentral lists this ribosomal RNA (253 nucleotides) under uncultured bacterium. Its description in RNAcentral is "partial 16S ribosomal RNA". It matches the Rfam family "Bacterial small subunit ribosomal RNA", at positions 524 to 776 of the family's 1533-position model. The record is from RNAcentral.
UACGAAGGGGGCUAGCGUUGCUCGGAAUUACUGGGCGUAAAGGGCGCGUAGGCGGCACUGUUAGUCAGGCGUGAAAGUCCUGGGCUCAACCUGGGAACUGCGCUUGAUACGGCAGAGCUAGAGGAUGGAAGAGGCUCGCGGAAUUCCCAGUGUAGAGGUGAAAUUCGUAGAUAUUGUCAAGAACACCAAUUGCGAAGGCAGCUUACUAAAUUAUAACUGACGCUGAGGCACGAAAGUGUGGGUAUCAAACAGG